This 1050-nucleotide long non-coding RNA is filed under the name Strigops habroptila (Kakapo). RNAcentral's name for it is "lncRNA (ENSSHBG00005010741.1)". Lineage: Eukaryota; Metazoa; Chordata; Aves; Psittaciformes; Psittacidae. The record is from RNAcentral.
UUUUUAUUUAUUUAUUUUUUCAGUUCUUUGAAGGAACAAUUCAUUAAAAUGUAAAGAAAACAGGCAAUGUUAAAUGCACCUAGUUCAAAGUUUCAGUAUGCUACUUUGUCUCUAUUGAAUUAAGCCAAUUGUGUCAAAACUUCAGGAAUACUUCAUGGUUGUUAAAUCAUGUCUCUCUUCAAAAGGUUAACUAGCAGUUUUUUCACAAACACUAUGCUUCUGGCUGUAGUCACUUGCCCACCAGUAUUCCUGAUUGUUUUAGUGAUGGUUUUGCAAAGAAAAGAUUCUAAAUAAGCAGCUUCUAAUUCUGCUCACUCUGACCCUUGUUGGCUUUACCUGAUGCGCCUGAUGUGUUUUAGAACUGAGCCUGUAGAAGUCCAUGCACAGUCAAUUUAAUAGAUUUCAAAGUAAAAUGAUCUUUCAUAGAAUAAAAGUCCAAAAUGUCACUAGUGGUUCCCAUAUCCAGUUCAAAAGUUUGGGGGAGAGUUAUAGCAGUCUUUUGGAAAGACACUCCAGCUGAUGUGUAACUUCGAUUCUUCAAACAAGCCCCUUUUGGUAGGAUUUUCAUCAUCUUGUAGCUGUUUUGCUAGAGUUCAUCACUUUUGUUCGAGGCCUCAGCAUAAUCUCUGUAGAACACGCUGCGGGGCUCUGUGGUGACCCUGUGAUUUUAAACUACUUCGUUUACUAUUCCAUUAAUUUGAAAAACGAUGGGUUUUUUCCUCAAUGAUGAGGAAAAACGCCUCAUCAAGCGUAAGACGAACUAUGGAUAUGGGAAAUAUGCCUCUUUGCUUGUGUUAACAGAAAUUUGCAAGAAAGGCUUUACUGAGAAGGUUUUACCAAGGAUGACGUUGUAAGACGAACUAUAGAUAUGCCCCCCCUCUUCUUACUCCUGGUGCUUCUCUGACCUUGGCGUCCAGCAUAAACUCUUAAGGGCUCGGGUGCCUUCCCUCCCGCCCAUCUGAACCGCAGCUGUCACUCCAACCCCGGCGGGGGGCCUCUCCCUGGCCGGGCACCAGCGCCCCCACAGCUAGACCGGGCCGUGCCCGCAGC